This 620-nucleotide long non-coding RNA is filed under the name Rattus norvegicus (Norway rat). Its description in RNAcentral is "long non-coding RNA NONRATT011314". The record is from RNAcentral. Lineage: Eukaryota; Metazoa; Chordata; Mammalia; Rodentia; Muridae.
UAUUGAACACAUAUGGUACAAUUAUAUACCUGUAGGCAAAACACUCAUGCACAUAAAAUAAAAACAAAUAUCUUAAGUAAAAUCUAGGGAUCAUUUUUAAAAGCUAAUGUACCUAUAGCACUUAUUACAAUGUUGAAUAUAAAUAACAUUAAUAAAGUUAUUGUGUUUUUAAACAGUUAUAAUUGUUUUAUAUCAAAAUAUUCAAUUAUCAUAGUAACAUUUAUCUAGUAUAUUCAAAGACUCAAAGCCCUGUUCAUGAAUAUCUCCCUUUUAAAAAAGUAUCAAGCUGGGAGGUGGUGGCGCAGGCCUUUAAUCCAUCACUCAGGAGGCAGAGGCAAGCAGGUCUCUGAGUUCAGGACCAGUCUUGUCUACAGAGCAAGUUCCUGGACAGCCAGGGCUACAUUGAGAAACCCUGUCUCAAAAACAGAAAGAAAGAUUGAUUUAUUUAAAACUUUUAUGAAGCAUCAAAUGCAAGGCAUGGUGGCCCAUUUCUGGAACACUAACGCUUAGGAAGUACGAUGGCCAAAAAUGCAAGAUUCUCCUUGGCUAUAUGCCAAGUUUGAGGCCAGGCUGGGCUACAUGAGACCCUGUCUCAAAAAAGCAAAGAAUAAAAAAAAAAA